GGGGCAUUUGGACAUGGGCGAAAGCCUGUAUCCAGCCAUGCCGCGUGAGUGAUGAAGGCCUUAGGGUUGUAAAGCUCUUUUACCAGGAAUGAUAAUGACAGUACCUGGUAGAAUAAGCCCCGGCUAACUCCGUGCCAGCUAGCCGCGGGUAAUA
Molecule: ribosomal RNA, 154 nt
Filed under: uncultured bacterium
Lineage: Bacteria
Description: partial 16S rRNA
Rfam family: Bacterial small subunit ribosomal RNA
Source: RNAcentral